CUUUCCAACUGCCUCCCAAAGGUGUCCAUGGAAACAAUGAUUCAUCCUGGUGUGCUGGUGAAUCUUGAGCAGGACAGUCUAAGGGGCAGGUCUUAAAAGUUUAUCUUGACCAAUGACAAAAUUCUAGCUUCCCAGC
Long non-coding RNA from Neotoma lepida (desert woodrat), 136 nucleotides. It matches the Rfam family "FTX transcript, XIST regulator conserved region 3". Lineage: Eukaryota; Metazoa; Chordata; Mammalia; Rodentia; Cricetidae. The record is from Rfam.